This 334-nucleotide ribosomal RNA is filed under the name uncultured Paludibacter sp. RNAcentral's name for it is "bacterial SSU rRNA". It matches the Rfam family "Bacterial small subunit ribosomal RNA", at positions 1 to 339 of the family's 1533-position model. The record is from RNAcentral. Lineage: Bacteria; Pseudomonadati; Bacteroidota; Bacteroidia; Bacteroidales; Paludibacteraceae.
AGUAGUUUGAUCAUGGCUCAGGAUGAACGCUAGCGGCAGGCUUAACACAUGCAAGUCGAGGGGCAGCGCGGGGUAGCAAUACCCUGGCGGCGACCGGCGCACGGGUGCGUAACAGGUGUGCAAUCUGUCCAUAGUCGGGGAAUAGCCCAGCGAAAGUUGGAUUAAUGCUCCAUGUGAGCGAGUGCCGCAUGACACACGCUUGAAACGUAAGGACUAUGGGUGAGCACGCUUCUGAUUAGAUAGUUGGUGGGGUAACGGCUCACCAAGUCGACGAUCAGUAGGGGUUCUGAGAGGAAGGUCCCCCACAUUGGAACUGAGACACGGUCCAAACUCC